CACCGCCCAUCACACUAUGGGAGCUUGCCAUGCCCGAAGUCGUUACCUUAACAGCAAAGAGGGGGAUGUCGAAGGCAAGGCUAGUGACUAGAGUGAAGUCAUAACAAGAUAGUCGUACUGGAAGGUGCGGCUG
This 133-nucleotide non-coding RNA is filed under the name Ricinus communis (castor bean). RNAcentral's name for it is "Bacterial small subunit ribosomal RNA". It matches the Rfam family "Bacterial small subunit ribosomal RNA", at positions 1388 to 1520 of the family's 1533-position model. The record is from Rfam by way of RNAcentral. Lineage: Eukaryota; Viridiplantae; Streptophyta; Magnoliopsida; Malpighiales; Euphorbiaceae.